AACAACGUUUCCGUAGAUGAACUGCGGAAGGAUCAUUAA
This 39-nucleotide ribosomal RNA is filed under the name Hydnophanerochaete odontoidea. RNAcentral describes it as "Phanerochaete odontoidea partial 18S ribosomal RNA". The record is from RNAcentral. Lineage: Eukaryota; Fungi; Basidiomycota; Agaricomycetes; Polyporales; Meruliaceae.